Molecule: unclassified non-coding RNA, 148 nt
Organism: Pongo abelii (Sumatran orangutan)
Lineage: Eukaryota; Metazoa; Chordata; Mammalia; Primates; Hominidae
Rfam family: Metazoan signal recognition particle RNA
About the family: The signal recognition particle (SRP) is a universally conserved ribonucleoprotein.
Source: Ensembl
GCCGGGUGUUGUGGCACGUACCUGUAGUCCUAGCUGCUCAGGAGGCUGAGGCAGGAGAAUUGCUCGAGCCCAAGAGUUCGAGGUUACAGUGAGCUGUGAUCAUGCCACUGUACUUUAGCCUGGGCAGCAGAGCAAGACCCUGUCUCUA